GACUUUUUAUAAUUUGUUUACAUUCAUGACAUUCAUGACAUUAUAGGUAUGAUGGGUAUUAAGUUAAAUCUGCAAGGUACAUGUAACCCUUUCAUGCAUUUACAAACAUUUGUAUAUAUACAUUGUGUUGGGCGGAAAAAAAGGGAACAAAUUUUGCAUACUAUGAUUAAUACUGGACAAUAAAAGGCUAUUGGAAAGUCGUAAAUCUCUACAAAUAAAUUCAGUAAUGUUAGGGGAAGUGUACUUUAGAUGUGAAGUAAAUAUUUAAAAGCAGGUAAACAUGGUAAAAGUGCCAAAAACACGUCUGAAUUAUGUGUAAACAAACUUCAAGUCGGUAAGUGUCAUAUUUAUUGGACCUAUACAUAUUUUAUUUUACACAUGUACCUUUAAUAUACCAGUACAUGUACACAUGUUGUGGGGGUCUUACAGUUCAACUUAUUUCCUCAUUUUACAGUGGCAUUGAAAUUGGUAAUUCCCAAUCCAGUUGAACCACUGUUGCUAGCAUUUAGUGUUAAUUUGUUAAUAUCCAGAAAGAGGGGCGAAAGAUAUGAUAGGGUUUAGUAUUAAUUUGUGAAUGUCCUGAAAGAGGGCAAAAGAUACCAAAGGAACAGUCAAACUCAUAGAUUGAAAACUAAACUGGCAAGGGAGCUGGGC
This 654-nucleotide long non-coding RNA is filed under the name Mytilus galloprovincialis (Mediterranean mussel). Lineage: Eukaryota; Metazoa; Mollusca; Bivalvia; Mytilida; Mytilidae. The record is from RNAcentral.